This is a non-coding RNA of Megalopta genalis, 710 nucleotides long. NCBI's taxonomy places the organism in Eukaryota, Metazoa, Arthropoda, Insecta, Hymenoptera, Halictidae. The record is from RefSeq and is a predicted model, not a curated record.
AAAACUUAUUGAAUUGACUGCAUAUCGAAAAAAACUAAAGAAUUCUAUAACGAUGUAUGUACUCAAUUCACCACUUCAAUUUCUUAAAUAAGCCUCUUUUCCAGAAACAUCCUCAAUUAUGAACACAAAACACAGCGCCGAUAUGGUGAUGCUUCUUCUCUUUCAUCAAUGGAUACCACGCUCUUGAAAUUUUUCUUUCCUAUAAAAAAAACGCAGCGUUAGAUUCGUUACAUCUUCCACAAGAGUGCUACUGACCUGCCCUCUUCAAGCGAAACGUUUCGCUACAAAAUUGCGCCAAGACGUGCCAUUGAUUUAACAACGCAAAGCGUCUGCUCCCGAAUACCGAGCCAUUUAUUUCCAUAUUAUAUACGCCAGGGAUUUGGCCUUGGCAAAAUACAUAUCAAAUGCGAACCAAAAACAGUGUUUUUGCACCAAAUUGUCAUAAAUUUGCUCAUAAAGUACACUCUAAUAAGCAUUUUACAUGUAUUUGAUUGAAGCAGACUUGGCUGACUGGCUACAUUUUCAUGUUGUGAAUUUAAUGAAAAGAUUUAUCUACGAAAGAGAUGUUUACAGAUGAAAACUCGUUGGCCAAGCAGAACAUCGAUAAACUUGGAAUAAUGGAAUUACAAAGGAGGGACCAAUCUUUUUUAGUUGAGCACCUUUGAACCUUAUACAUUACAAGAUAAUAAAAUGAUGUUUUCUUUUAUAAU